CACCGCGGUUAUACGAGAGGCCCAAGUUGAUAAACACCGGCGUAAAGUGUGGUUAGGUUUAUUAUGCUAAAGUUGAACGCUUCCAGAACUGUUAUACGCACCCGGAAGCAGGAAGCCCAACUGCGAAGGUGACUUUAAAGAUCCGACCCCACGACAGCUAAGAUA
This 165-nucleotide ribosomal RNA is filed under the name Saurida gracilis (gracile lizardfish). RNAcentral's name for it is "partial 12S rRNA". The record is from RNAcentral. Lineage: Eukaryota; Metazoa; Chordata; Actinopteri; Aulopiformes; Synodontidae.